This 5025-nucleotide long non-coding RNA is filed under the name Brassica napus (rape). RNAcentral describes it as "long non-coding RNA (BNAP_LNC000730)". The record is from RNAcentral. Lineage: Eukaryota; Viridiplantae; Streptophyta; Magnoliopsida; Brassicales; Brassicaceae.
ACCCUUGCUGGGACUUAUUAUCACCCAGAAGCAUCUACAGUUCCAAAUACCACAGCGUCCAUGCAGGCAGUUAAUGCUGCGACAGCUGGCUAUCCUACACCGGCUCAUGGUGAAGUCCCACAAGUAGCAAGUGAUUACGCAUACAAACCUCAGACCAUAACUGGUAAUUACACCACCAGUCAUUCACAGCCUGGAACUGUGGGAGAAAGUACAGAAUCGUAUGCUGGAGCAGUUAGUUAUCCACCACAGCAACAUACUCAACUCUAUGCUGGUGGACCUGGAUAUACCCAACAACCCCACGAAACUGGGUACGCUCAUCAACUCUAUUCUGCAUCAACUGCGUACGCUCAGCAAAACCAUGCUGCUUCAACUGGGUACGUUCAGCAACCCCAUGCUGCAACAACUGGGUAUGCUCAGCAACCCCAAGAUGCAGCUGCUGGAUACGCUCAACAACCCCAUGCUGCAACAACUGGAUACGCUCAGCAAUCCUAUGAUGCAGCAACUGGAUACGCUCAACAACUCCAAGAUGUAGCAACUGGAUACGGUCAGCAACCCCAUGCUGCAGCAACUGGAUACGCUCAGCAACCCUAUGCUGCAACAACUGGAUACGCUCAGCAACCCCAAGAUGCAGCAGCUGGGUACGCUCAACAACCGUAUGGUCAAGCUGUUGGAUACACAACGCAAUAUGGUGCCCAGGCUGUUGGAUACACGCCUCAAUACAGUGCUCAAGCUGGUGCAUACAGUCAACAAGCUGUGGCGCAAGGUUCUGUGCCAGGGGCUCCCAGGACAACUGAUUGGAAUGCUGCAAGCCAGGCAUAUGCUGCAACAGGAGACUGGAAUGCGGUGAAUCAGUCUUACUACCAUCACACAGCAGAUACAACCACAACCUAUAAUCAGACAUCUUAAAAACUGGUAUGACAGAGAGGACCUCUGUUAACUCUCGUGUACGUACUAAAACAUGGUUUCGAUUUCAGGUGAGAAACAGUUUAAUGAUGAUGAUAUGAUGCUGAAAACCUCUUUGCAGGAUCUGGAAAACAUGUGCGUGGUGGAGAAGCAUGGAUGUGAACUAGUGCACUCACUGGAAAGAAUGGAACAAAGACAUAAAAGGUAGAGUCUCCAGCUCGUUUCCUCUUAUGUUAAAAAAAAGGCUAUAACGGAUUUAAGGUUUUUAUUUUCUCUAAAUCAUCAAAACUUAUUCAAAUCCCUAUUCAGAAGUGCAAUUUGAAAUGCAAUUACGAUGGGGAUAUGAAACGAAUAAAACCAUAUUAGAACUCUUUUUAUUACAAGCUGUCCUAAAACAUUUAUAUUCUAGUAUGUUUGUGUUUAAUACUUGGGAUCUGCUAUUAAGUAUAUAACCUACAAUGGUCAACUCUACUUGUGUGCAUUUUUUCCCCCGUUUGAGAUUUGUACACACAACCCCGCUUCGAUUCUCUGAAUAAACCAAAAUACGAGUGCAUCUUCGGGUUUGAGUUAGAUGCAGAAUCGUCUUCAUCGUAGAGAAGUAUCUUUGGUCUUGAAAGAGACGACGCACAAGACUUUUACGUAAAAUCGUCUUCAUGCUGGGUAUGAACAUGAUGAUUAGACAAGUGUCAAGUAGCAGGAGAUAUAACACGUGUCUUUUAACUUUACAAAUCUCAAAUCUCUGUAUGAUUUGGAGUACGCCUGGGCAUUUCACAUAUGGCUUGGUUCGGGUAUAACGGAUUUCGGAUAGUUAGGAUAUAAGGUUUAAUCUACUUUCAGUUCAGUUCAGUUCGGUUCGGAUAGUUUUUUUGAGUUCGGUUCAGUUUGGAUAGUAAAACUAGGAACCGGAAAAUAUCCGGAAAAAAUCAGUUUAUUUGGUUCCGGUUCGGAUUCGGAUAGUUUUGGUAAUUCAGAUAAAAUAUCGGUUAUUUAAGGUAAAAUAUCAAAUAAUUAAGGAUGAUUAAAAUAAGAAGUUUGGAUAUCUGGAUAUUUCGAUUAUUUUGGAUAUUUGGAUAUUUCAGAUUACUUUGGAUAUUUCAGAUAAAACUAUCUGGAUAGUUUCAGAUAUUUUUGGGUAGUUCAGAUACUUUAUAAUAAUUUAGAUAUCUUCAACUAUUUUUGGAUAGUUUUAACAGAUUUUUAAAUUAUAUAUAUAGUUAUGUUAUAUGUAUAUAUAAUUAAUAUUUUUAUUUAUUCGGUUAUCCGUUCAGUUCUCGGUUCGGUUAUUUUGAAUAUAAAAAUCUAAGAAUCGUUCGGAUAUUUGAAGGUUUCAGUCUAGUUCCGGUUUCCGGUAUUUCGGUUCGGUUCUUCGGUUCCUGUUUUUCUACCCUGGUCAAAUUUCGAGCAAUCUGAUGGAUCCGUUAGUUAAAUAGGAGGCCUAUAUUAAUCUAUAAAGGCCCAUUAGGUCUCGGCCCACUCAUCUUCCAUAAUCACCCACGCGAGCUUCCUUUCUUUCAGUUAUUGAACGAAAGUCAUCAUCUUUCAUGAACAAACCUUCUACAGAUUCGCACUUAUCAGAUCCUCGAGCAUCCUGAUCCCAAUUCAAUUUCUCCUCCCUAGGGCUUCCCAAAUCGUCCAUCCCUCUUCCUCCGGUACGUCAAUUAUCAAGAUUCGAUCCCACAUCAAUCUCUCAAACCCCUAAAGUUACCUACAAACAAUGGCAGAGACUAUGGAGGCGGAGAUGGACUUCUCAGACGGUGAGCAAACCAACAGAGCUUCUCUCGUGGCUCUCUACGGCAACUCGUCCGUUGUUGAACAGCACCUCCCUGGCUACAUCUUCAUGUGUAACGGCAGGACCAAACCGGAUUGCUUCCGUUACCGUGUCUUCGGGAUCCCGAGAGGUGGGAAAGGAGUUGUCGAGCGGAUCAAACCGGGGAUGAAGCUGUUUCUUUACGACUUUGAGAAGAGGCUUCUCUAUGGUGUGUAUGAGGCUAGUGUUGGUGGGAAGAUGGAUAUUGAGCCUGAUGCUUUUGAUAAGAUGUAUCCUGCUCAGGUGAGGAUUUUGAAUACAAAAGGUUUUGUUUUGUGUUUUUGAGAUUAAUCUUUUUUUAAUAUUAAUCUUGGCAGGUUGGGUUUAGGAUUGUUGACAACUGUUAUCCUUUGCCGGAGAGUACUUUUAAGUCUGCUAUCUAUGAGAAUUACAAAGGGGGAAAGUUUAAUCAAGAGCUUGCUCCUCACCAAGUUAAUACACUACUCUUCCUUGUUAUUUUACCAAUGUUCAAGAAUUAGUUGUAUGAGAUUAUUGAUUAGGCGGGCGUCUAGACCGAUUUUUUUUUUAAUCGUUCUGAAAAAAUUGUUACAUUCUUCCUUGUUAUUUACCGAUGUUCGAGAAAUCGCUAGGUGCUGGUUAUCCGUUUUAUAUGAGAUUAUUGAUUAGCGCGGGAGCCUAGACCGAUUUUUUUAGUGUGUUAAGACUGAUUUUUUGAAGAAUCGUUCUGAAAAAAUUGUUACAUUCUUCCUUGUUAUUUACCAAUGUUCAAGAAAUCGCUAGGCGCUGGUUAGGCGCUUUGUAUGAGAUUAUUGAUUAGUGCGGGAGCCUAGACCGAUUUUUUUAGUGUGUUAGACUGAUAUUUUUGAAGAAUCGUUCUGAAAGAAUUGUUUUGUUUAGGUCUGAUUUGCUGACUAGGCGAACCGAACUUUUAGAAAAUUGAUAUGUAUAACACAUGUUUAGAAGUGAGACUUUCCUGUUGUAUUGUGAUUACAAUGUUGCUGAAUUUAAAAUGAUCAUGGAUUUGCAGGUGAUGUCUCUGCUAUCAUUGUUUCGUUCAUUUGCUGCUCCACAACUGGAUGCAUUACCUCAUAGAUUCGCUUCUGGAGCCUCAGCAUCAUCCAGGGAGCUAUCUUUUGAGGAACGGUUCAUUGCUGCUACACAACUCAAGAAAGCUUCCUCAGUUUUAGAUCCUUUGUCUGCUCGCUCACAUCUGCUUAAUCAUAGUUACUCCAGACAAGACGGCAGCUACACAACCCCAGGGAGAGAAAGAGGAUAUCUCUCAAAUUUGGAUCACCCUUAUUCUCCUGCAGAAAGUCAGCAGCAACGGUUGAUAGGAGACCCUUCACGCUCAUCUAUACAAGACCCUCAGCUCAAGUACCUAACGAUUUUAUCUAAUAUCCGGAGGUAACUAUGGUUGUAUUGGUUUUUAGUAGUUCUUUAGUCCAUAACUUGAUGGUUUGUCUUCCUAUUCCGUGCUGACUGCUAAUUUGGACCUGAUAUUUGUAGUCAUCAGAGGUUUAUCAAACUGAGAACUAUACUAGACUCAUUUUCAAUGCUCGAUAACUAUGCUAUUACAAAUUAUGAGAAAUAUUAAAAACGAUACAACUCUACUAGUCUUAUUACACUCCUUUAUCUUGUUUCUUUUUUAUGGUUUUGCAGAAUGUGUAAUUAUUAGUGCUUUUUUUUUUUUUUGCUGUGACAGAUAUGGAAGUGCACCAGAGCCCUUGUCCUCGGAAAAUGAAUAUCAUCCGGCAACACUAUCAGAGAAAGAUCAGUUUGCUUCACCUUAUUCUGAUAAGAAGUAUUACCUUUCGACAUUACCUGGGAAUGAGCACUCGUCUGCAUCUGCAGCUAACGGGAGUGUGUAUAGAGGUGAGCUCUAUACUUCAGCAUCACAAAGGGAAGGGGAAGCUAGUCAGCAGCAUGAGACCCUUGCUGGGACUUAUUAUCACCCAGAAGCAUCUACAGUUCCAAAUACCACAGCGUCCAUGCAGGCAGUUAAUGCUGCGACAGCUGGCUAUCCUACACCGGCUCAUGGUGAAGUCCCACAAGUAGCAAGUGAUUACGCAUACAAACCUCAGACCAUAACUGGUAAUUACACCACCAGUCAUUCACAGCCUGGAACUGUGGGAGAAAGUACAGAAUCGUAUGCUGGAGCAGUUAGUUAUCCACCACAGCAACAUACUCAACUCUAUGCUGGUGGACCUGGAUAUACCCAACAACCCCACGAAACUGGGUACGCUCAUCAACUCUAUUCUGCAUCAACUGCGUACGCUCAGCAAAACCAUGCUGCUUCAACUGGGUACGUUCAGCAACCCCAUGCUGCAACAACUGGGUAUGCUCAGCAACCCCAA